CAGGGGGGCAACUCAAGGUGGACCACCACACUUUCGAUACCUGUGUUUGCCGUCUGAUAAUGAUAAGCUGCCUGAGUUUGUUCCAAGAUAAAAACAUUUUUUUAUAUUAGAAAAGUUCGCCUGAGCUUAAGGUUAGGUUAGUUUCACUAGAAUCUGGACUUGCUUGUUUGGGAUCAAAGUUUGUCUACUAAGGUCUUGUUUACAUGAAAAAGAAAUUAGAUAUUCACACGGUAGCACUUUUAUUUAUAUUUGAUAAACAUUGUCCAAUCAUAGACUAACUAGACUUAAAAUAUUCGUCUCGCGAUUUACAAGUAAAUAUACAAUUAGUUAUUUUUUUUAUUUAUUUUUAAUAUUACAUGCAUGUGCCGUAAGAUUCAAUAUGCUUAUAAACUUUCGGAAAAUUUCACAAACAAAAGUUUGGAGCCAAAUACAAGAGAUUGCUAAGUUUUGGUAAUAAAACAAAUAAAUACCUACAAUCAUAUCUGCUAGUUUUUAGCUUAGCAUAUUUCGGAGCCAACCAAGCAGUAUCUCAUAAGUUUCUAAGACAUGCUCCUCCGGUCCUGUUAUGAGUGUCUUUUUUAUUUUCUAAGAAAUUAGACAUUUUUUAUUUUGAUCAACAUAUAUCUAUUGAUUAAUUUUUUGGUGCAUCAUUAGUAUCAUUAGAUAAAUUGUUAGAUAUAUUUUCAUAAUAAACAUACAAUCUAUGUCCUGAAAAGAAUACAACUAUGAUAUGCCUGCCAGUUAAAGUGUGUCACGUUUGACCAAGUUUUUAGUAAAUAGUAUUCACAUUUAUUGCUUCAAAUCAAUUUGUUAAUUAUUUCUUUAAUUAAUCCAAUAGUUUUUAUUUUGAUAUUAUAAAUAUUUAUAAUUUUUUAUCUAUAAUUAGUCAAACUUGGUAUACUCAAAUAUGACACUGUUCUAGUAUUUAUAUAGGUUCAAUAAAACUAAACAAAUUGACUUGUUCUAUAUCUAGAAUUGCAUUCUUUGUGAUGAUAAAGUAGACUAUUAUUCCACACAAAGGUAUUUUCACAUGAAAAAAGUAAAAAACAGUACU
This 1054-nucleotide long non-coding RNA is filed under the name Sorghum bicolor (sorghum). RNAcentral's name for it is "long non-coding RNA (SBIC_LNC016949)". The record is from RNAcentral. Lineage: Eukaryota; Viridiplantae; Streptophyta; Magnoliopsida; Poales; Poaceae.